This 29-nucleotide non-coding RNA is filed under the name Rattus norvegicus (Norway rat). Lineage: Eukaryota; Metazoa; Chordata; Mammalia; Rodentia; Muridae. The record is from RNAcentral.
UCUGAAUGGUUCAUGAGGGUUCCUUGUGC